CCUACGGGACGCAGCAGUGGGGAAUAUUGCACAAUGGGGGAAACCCUGAUGCAGCGACGCCGCGUGAGUGAAGAAGUAUUUCGGUAUGUAAAGCUCUAUCAGCAGGGAAGAAAAUGACGGUACCUGACUAAGAAGCCCCGGCUAACUACGUGCCAGCAGCCGCGGUAAUACGUAGGGGGCAAGCGUUAUCCGGAUUUACUGGGUGUAAAGGGAGCGUAGACGGUGCGCCAAGUCUGGAGUGAAAUGCCGCAGCUUAACUGCGGAACUGCUUUGGAAACUGGCGAACUGAGGUGCGGGAGGGGGAA
Molecule: ribosomal RNA, 305 nt
Filed under: uncultured bacterium
Lineage: Bacteria
Description: bacterial SSU rRNA
Rfam family: Bacterial small subunit ribosomal RNA
Source: RNAcentral